AAGUCGAGCGAACAGACGAGGAGCUUGCUCCUCUGACGUUAGCGGCGGACGGGUGAGUAACACGUGGAUAACCUACCUAUAAGACUGGGAUAACUUCGGGAAACCGGAGCUAAUACCGGAUAAUAUAUUGAACCGCAUGGUUCAAUAGUGAAAGACGGUUUUGCUGUCACUUAUAGAUGGAUCCGCGCCGCAUUAGCUAGUUGGUAAGGUAACGGCUUACCAAGGCAACGAUGCGUAGCCGACCUGAGAGGGUGAUCGGCCACACUGGAACUGAGACACGGUCCAGACUCCUACGGGAGGCAGCAGUAGGGAAUCUUCCGCAAUGGGCGAAAGCCUGACGGAGCAACGCCGCGUGAGUGAUGAAGGUCUUCGGAUCGUAAAACUCUGUUAUUAGGGAAGAACAAAUGUGUAAGUAACUAUGCACGUCUUGACGGUACCUAAUCAGAAAGCCACGGCUAACUACGUGCCAGCAGCCGCGGUAAUACGUAGGUGGCAAGCGUUAUCCGGAAUUAUUGGGCGUAAAGCGCGCGUAGGCGGUUUUUUAAGUCUGAUGUGAAAGCCCACGGCUCAACCGUGAGGGUCAUUGGAAACUGGAAAACUUGAGUGCAGAAGAGGAAAGUGGAAUUCCAUGUGUAGCGGUGAAAUGCGCAGAGAUAUGGAGGAACACCAGUGGCGAAGGCGACUUUCUGGUCUGUAACUGACGCUGAUGUGCGAAAGCGUGGGGAUCAAACAGGAUUA
Molecule: ribosomal RNA, 738 nt
Filed under: uncultured Staphylococcus sp.
Lineage: Bacteria; Bacillati; Bacillota; Bacilli; Caryophanales; Staphylococcaceae
Description: bacterial SSU rRNA
Rfam family: Bacterial small subunit ribosomal RNA
Source: RNAcentral